UACGUAGGGUCCGAGCGUUGUCCGGAAUUAUUGGGCGUAAAGGGCUCGUAGGCGGUUUGUCGCGUCGGGAGUGAAAACCAGGUGCUUAACACCUGGCCUGCUUUCGAUACGGGCAGACUAGAGGCAUUCAGGGGAGAACGGAAUUCCUGGUGUAGCGGUGAAAUGCGCAGAUAUCAGGAGGAACACCCGUGGCGAAGGCGGCCCACUGGGCCGGUACUGACGCUGAGGCACGAAGGCGUGGGGAGCGAACGGG
This 253-nucleotide ribosomal RNA is filed under the name uncultured bacterium. RNAcentral's name for it is "partial 16S ribosomal RNA". It matches the Rfam family "Bacterial small subunit ribosomal RNA", at positions 524 to 776 of the family's 1533-position model. The record is from RNAcentral.